GACGGCACACACACUCGCUGUUUUCCUUAGCUCUUGUCGCUCGAUAGCACGUACCCCUUUCGCGCUCUCUUGUACUCAUUGCCUCAGCCACCACUCAUCGCGCCUGGCCCACCCCCUCUCCCUCCACAUCCUCGAUUCGGGGCACCCGCGUUAUUAACUGAUCGCGUGUGUCCUCGUGUCUCCAGCGCUCCAUCGACUCCUCUUACCUGUCUUCCCUGCUGCUACACCUUCCCUGCUACUUAGCACAACAAUACGCACACGUGCAACUUGCCGCGGCACACGUCUUCCCUUGUGCAUGUUGUUUUACCUUGCUGGGUCGCGCUUUCACAGAGGCAGCCGAAACGGCGAAAAAAAAAAAGGAAAACGAAUAGGAUCGGAUCCGGUACUCAUUGCUCUUCUUAUCUGUCUGUGUGUGCGUGUGCGCAUCUGUGCCGCUCAUCGACCCUCUCCUCCCCUCCCUUCCCUGCCUGCCUGCCACGUUUGAUGACGCGCCUGUUUAGACCAACUCUCUACUCUCUCUCUCUCCCUCUCCCCCCCCCCUUCUCUCUGCGUGCGUGCGUGUGUCUGUCUUCUUGAUUUCCGUCGUUGUAUCUCGUCGUCUUG
Molecule: unclassified non-coding RNA, 603 nt
Filed under: Leishmania donovani
Lineage: Eukaryota; Euglenozoa; Kinetoplastea; Trypanosomatida; Trypanosomatidae
Description: gene:unknown
Source: RNAcentral